UACGACUACAUAUCAGGCAUAUCAAUAAGCGGAGGAAAAGAAACUAACUAGGAUUCCCUUAGUAACGGCGAGUGAAGCGGGAAGAGCUCAAAUUUGAAAUCUUCAAGGUUCUACCUUGACGAAUUGUAGUUUAAAGAAGUGUUUUCUGUUGGAGUUUUGGUAAAAGUUCUUUGGAAUAGGACAUCAUAGAGGGUGAGAAUCCCGUAUUUGACCAUUUCUUCCAGCUGUGUGAUACACUUUCAAAGAGUCGGAUUGUUUGGGAAUGCAGUCCAAAAUGGGUGGUAAAUUUCAUCUAAAGCUAAAUAUUGGCGAGAGACCGAUAGCGAACGAGUACCGUGAGGGAAAGAUGAAAAGAACUUUGAAAAGAGAGUUAAACAGUACGUGAAAUUGUCAAAAGGGAAGCGUUUGACACCAGUGUUGUUUUCUCGAAAAUCAAUUAAAAAUGACCGGAUUUUGUGUUGUAUUGACUUUAUCAGCUUUCUGCACUUUUUUCUUGUCUUUUUUAAUGCACUUUUCGUUUAACAAGUCAACAUCAAUUUCUUUUGUUGUAAAAGGGUCAUUGGAAGGUGGCUUUUCACUUCGGUGAAAGUGUUUAUAGCCUUUGACUUCUGCAAUCGGAGAGAUUGAGGUCUGCAGCGUAGAUCCUUCGGGGUUAGAUACAUUUGUGCUAAGUUAUAGUUUUUCAUAGACAACAUGUUGACUAUGAUUAAUCAUGUAGCUUACUCGCUUAUGCUAUUUUACCUACGCUUAGGAUGUUGAUCUCUCACAGUCGAGC
This 775-nucleotide ribosomal RNA is filed under the name uncultured Neocallimastigales. Its description in RNAcentral is "partial large subunit ribosomal RNA". It matches the Rfam family "Eukaryotic large subunit ribosomal RNA", at positions 24 to 645 of the family's 3401-position model. The record is from RNAcentral. Lineage: Eukaryota; Fungi; Neocallimastigomycota; Neocallimastigomycetes; Neocallimastigales.